AAACUGGGGUUAAUUCCCGAUGGGUGAGGAGGCCUGGAAUGGUUCUUCACUGAAAGGGCGCUAGAGGCAUGCUCUCUAACGUUGCCCAAGGAUGGGGCCGCGGCCGAUCAGGUUGUUGGUGAGGUAACGGCUUACCAAGCCUAUAACCGGUACGGGCCGUGAGAGCGGAAGCCCGGAGAUGGGCACUGAGAUAAGGGCCCAGGCCCUACGGGGCGCAGCAGUUGCGAAAACUCCGCAAUGCACGAAAGUGUGACGGGGCUACCCCGAGUGCCGUCCGCUGAGGAUGGCUUUUCUCCGCUGUAAGGAGGCGGAGGAAUAAGGAGAGGGCAAGACUGGUGUCAGCCGCCGCGGUAAUACCAGCUCUCCGAGUGGUAGGGGUGAUUAUUGGGCUUAAAGCGUCCGUAGCCGGCCUGGCAAGUCUNCCGUUAAAUCCAGCAACCUAAUUGUUGGGCUGCGGGGGAUACUGUUAGGCUUGGGGGCGGGAGAGGCCGACGGUAUUCUCGGGGUAGGGGUGAAAUCUUAUAAUCCCGAGAGGACCACCAGUGGCGAAGGCUGUCGGCUAGCACGCGCCUGACGGUGAGGGACGAAAGCUGGGGGAGCGAACCGGAUUAGAUACCCGGGUAGUCCCUGCUGUAAACGAUGCGAGCUAGGUGUUGGGGCGGCUACGAGCCGCUUCAGUGCCGCAGCGAAGGCGUUAAGCUCGCCGCCUGGGGAGUACGGCCGCAAGGCUGAAACUUAAAGGAAUUGGCGGGGGAGCACCACAAGGCGUGAAGCUUGCGGUUCAAUUGGAGUCAACGCCGGGAACCUUACCGGGGGCGACAGCAGGAUGAAGGCCAGGUUGAUGGUCUUGCUGGACGAGCUGAGAGGAGGCGCAUGGCCGUCGUCAGUUCGUGCCGUGAGGUGUCCUCUUAAGUAAGGUAACGAUCGAGACCCGCACCCCUUGUUGCUAACAGACUCCAUCGGGGUCUGUGCACACUAGGGGGACCGCCGUCGAUAAGACGGAGGAAGGAGCGGGCCACGGCAGGUCAGUAUGCCCCGAAUCCCCCGGGCCACACGCGAGCUGCAAUGGCAGGGACAAUGGGUGUCGACUCCGAAAGGAGGAGGUAAUCUCUAAACCCUGCCUCAGUUGGGAUCGAGGGCUGAAACCCGUCCUCGUGAAUAUGGAAUGCCUAGUAAUCGCGCGUCAUCAUCGCGCGGUGAAUACGUCCCCGCUCCUUGCACACACCGCCCGUCGUUCCAUCCGAGUGGGGUUUGGGUGAGGCGUAGUCCUUGGUGGCUGCGUCGAACUCAGGUUCCGCAAGGAGGG
RNAcentral lists this ribosomal RNA (1306 nucleotides) under uncultured archaeon. Its description in RNAcentral is "16S ribosomal RNA". It matches the Rfam family "Archaeal small subunit ribosomal RNA", at positions 137 to 1427 of the family's 1478-position model. The record is from RNAcentral.